This is a non-coding RNA of Lactuca sativa (garden lettuce), 4474 nucleotides long. The record is from RefSeq and is a predicted model, not a curated record. Lineage: Eukaryota; Viridiplantae; Streptophyta; Magnoliopsida; Asterales; Asteraceae.
CGUUAGUUGGAUACGCGAAAUAAGGAAAUAAAAUAUGUUACCGUUGCCACAUAAACCGCCUUUAGAAACCUACAUAUAUCAGUAAUCAAUCUGCACUCCCUUCGAUCGUUCUUCUCCAACAGCAUUAGCAAGCUACCCAUGAUAUGUCUCUUCAAGUACCCAUGAGACAGAUUGGAGGCUGACUAAUGAUGAUGAUUUUGAAGUAUCUUUGUUUCCAUAUUGGUCUUUAUGUGCAUGUUUUCUCUCUUUUAUUGCAGUGUGUGCUAUAUAUAGUGGAGGAAAAUACUGAAAGUCAGCUCUUGUCAACCAAUGUUUGGUUUGUUGUAAAUUGCAGUUUGUCUGGUUUGUCCAUUUUUAUUCAUAUAUUCAUGUGCAUUCUAUUUUAUGGGUUUUCCAUUUAUUUCCAGUAAAAUUAAUCUUCUUUGAAGGGUUUUGAUUUUUGAAUGUCAGAGGUUCCUUAUAUAAUUCUUUCCAACUUGAAAAUUAAGGUCAUUGAGUUUCUUGGUUAUUGGGUUCUUUUUUUUCAUCAUGUUCUUCAUUUUAUACAGAGAUAAUCUUUUAUUUUUUAUUUGUCAUUGUUUCUGAUAGUCGAGUGAUCCUGCUCUUUUCCUUUAAAGUUUAUUGUUUGUGUUUCUUGGUCAAUCAUUAAGAACAAAGAAGAUACAAAAUGAAGCAUAGUGAAAUUUUGGGGGCUUUUAUAUAUCCUUCUAACUUUUUGGGGUCAAUUUCAUUUUUUGUGUAGUUUCAUUUAACUAUCAGAAUUCAGACAUGGUUUGAUACAGGAUAACUAAUGAUGAUGCUUUUGAAGCAUCUUCUUUUCUAUAAGGGUCUUUAUGUGCUUCCUUUUUUUUUUUUAAUUUGGUGAGAUGUUUUCUCAAUGUGGAUAUUCCAUUCAAGUAGGUGUCUGAUUUCAGCUCUUUCUUUCUCUCUUUUAUUGCAAUGCAAUGAUCCUGUUCUUGGAAUCUAACAUCCUCUCAUCUUUUUUUAUAUACUUGCUAUGAUGACACCAAAUAUACAUCUGUUUACUUAGAUUCAAUUCUUUUCAAUUCUUGCAUGCUGGUAAAUUACAAUUGAGUUAGGUUGUCCUUUCUUAUUAGUAAGUAACCUUUUGAUUUGACCUUAAAUUCACUUGUUUUCCCUUCUUUUUUGGGUCUCUUUAUAAGCUUUUAUGUGCUCACCUUUUUUUUUUUUUUGGCAGUUGCUAUAGAGGCCCCCACCCAAAGUCCAUGGAUGUUUACUCGGAAUCCAUUCCUGUGAUGGUGGUAAAUUGCAAUUAAUUAAGCUUGAUUCUUCUUUGACAGAUUUUUUCCGAGGGUUUUCAUUUUGAAAGGCUAACAGGUUCUUAUACAGUUUUUUCCUACUUGAAAAUUGGGGUUUUUCCACUUCUUGGUUAUCGAUCAGUUUCUUGUUUUUCAUCAUGUUAUGCAUAGAUAAUCUUUAGAAUCUUUUGGUUUUGUUUAUUUGAAAUAGUUUUUGAUAGUCGAUUGAUCCUGCUCUUUAAUCUUCUUAAGUUCAUUGUUUGGGUUUCUUGGUCAAUCAUUAAGAACAAGAAGAUAGAAUGAAUCAGAAUAAAUUUUUUGGGGGUUUUCCCCUUCUAUCGUAGGGAGGGUUUGAUGAAUAUUUCUGAAAAUAGUUGAGAGAUGUGUCUUGUUUCGUAAUGCUUUGUUAGAUGGCUUAUCUGUCCCAUAUAAAUAUAUUAUUUUUUGAAUUUAUUCAUCUACAAGCGUGUUUUCUUCAUGGGUUUCUCUAGAUGAGCAAUUCCAAGUUAUUUUUAUGUGCUUUGUUGUAGGAGUAGAAAUAAAGGGAUAUCACAUAUAUAACAGUUAUUUUUCUUCAAUGAUAUAGGUUCAGUGAUUAUCUCCACUAAUUAACCUGUUUAUUUUGUGGAUAUUAUAUAUAUACCUUACAGGAUUGAAGUAUCUUUGUUUCCAUUUUGGUCUUUAUGUGCAUGUUUUCUCUCUUUUGUUGCAGUGUAAAGAUUCUGUUCUUGAAAUCUGAGAUUAUUAACAACCUUUUGAUUGUGAAUCUUAAGAUCAUCUCAUUCAGUCAUAUUUCUUCUCUAUUUUUACAUGUUUCAGAUCUAGAUUAUCUGUUUAUAACAGUGUAAUGAAGUCUAAGUUAUUCACUACUGAUUUGAACUUAAGUUCACUUUCUUUUCCCUUAUUAUGCAAGCUUUUGUGUGGUCACCUUUUUAUAGUUUCCAGUUAAAUGUUUUUCCUUUCCGAGUUCUUUCUGUGUUGCUCAUAUAUGUUUGUAGACUAUUUUCACGUGUUUAGGUUAUUAAUUAUCUUUAUUUUGUUGGCUAAGCUUUUAAUGUAUUCUGUUGUUGUUUAAAAGAUAAAGGGACAUCAGUGUCACUAUUUAGUACCAUAUUCAUGCUAUGGAAUGUAUAUUUAGUGUUUCUUUUUGGCUUAAUGGGCUAAGCACUUAAUCUGGAGAGCUAUAUAUGAUUGUUUGUUUUUUAGUUUAAUCUGGACAGAAUGACUUAACUGAUAAAGCCAAGAAAACCUAACUUAAUAUAUUAAGACACUAACACUAUACAUAUUUAUAUUUUGUUAAAAUGUUGAAUAUGUAUUCGUUUUUUAAAAAUUGAGGGUGAUAUUUUCAUUUAAAAUAUUAGCAUGAGAUUGAUAAGCUUAGGCAUGGUGGUGAUAUUGAAGUGUCUUUAUGGUGGUUUAAUUAUAUAGGUAAGUUAUUUGCGACUUCUCUUCCAUUAUUAACCUUUUUAUUUUGAAUCUUAUGAUGACUAAAUGUUUUUUACUCAUAUUUAGUUCUCAUCAAGUCUUCAUUCAGAAUUAAGCAGUGUAGAUUGUUAGCCUUUUGAAUUUUAAUAUUAAGAGCAUCUCAUUCUUUUUCUACAGUUCCUAUGGUGGCAACAAAUGCAUGUAUGGAUCCAAAGAUUCAAUUCUUGUCUGGGGUUUUUUUCAUUAUGAAUCUUAAUAACUUGUAACUUAUUUAUUAUAAUACAGGUGUGCUAUAUAUAGUGGAGGAAAAUACUGAAAGUCAGCUCUUGUCAACUGCAGUUUGUCUGUUGCUAUGGGGGCACCAAUUACACAUAUGUUUAUUCAAUUGCUAUAGAGGCCCCAUUCCUGUGAUGCUGGAAGGACAUUAUGUUCAAAACAACUCGACUAAUAGCCUGAAUAUGAUGUCCCUCUUGUAGACUAUUUUCAUGUGUUUAGGUACCACUUUCAGUUGUGAUGAUGCAUGGUGACACAAAAUGCAUGAGACAGAUGGGAGUCUGACUAAAUCUAAUGAAUUUAAAGCAUCUUCUUUUCUAUAAUGGUCUUAAUGUGUUUUGCUUUUUUGGGUUUCUGGCUGAAAGUUGUGGAGCACAAGCACAAGCAUGAGACUUCUCCUUCCAUUAUGGUUGUUUCUAAGCUCUCAUGAAGAAUAAUUUGAUAGGAGCAACACAACUGGGGAGCACAUACAUGUUAUUAUGUAUAUAGCAAAAAUGCAAGGUUGAGAGAGUCUAUAGUGGAGGAAAACACACAUAUAUGCUCACUGAAAGUCAGUUCUUGUCAACUGAUGCUUGCUGGUAUAAAUUGCAGUUUGUCUGGUUUGUCCAUUCUUAUUUACCUCUAUUUUAUAGAUUUUACAUUUUUUUUUCCUUCAAAUUAAUCUUCUUUAAACGGUUUAUGAUCUAACCCCAUAUUAAUAUAUCUUCAUUUGCUAAAUAACCUUUUAGAUUUGUUGAUGAGUAAGCAAGCCCAAAAAAUGUGUCUUCAACCCAUGUCUAUGUAUUUCAUAUAAGGCUUUUUGCUUUUAAAAAUCUAUCAUAUUUUUCAACAUGAAGGCAUUUUCUUUUGAAAAAUCAAACCAAACAUGACAUCAUAUCUUCAUUUUUUACAUAAUAAGCACACUUCCCUUUAAAAACUCAACCCAUUUAUAGCAUUGCACUUUUUAGUUUUAUUUGUGUUAAAACGUUGCAACUCUCGAUGCAUUUUACUUUGAAAAAUAUUCAUCUUUUUCUAUGGUUGCUAUACCAAAUGUACAUCAUCUGUUUACUUAGAUUCAGUUCUUGUCAACUCUUGCAUACUGGUAAAUUACAAUUCAGUUCUUGGAUUUUAAGAUUAUAAUUAAUUAACCUGUUGAUUGUGAAUCUUAAGUUCACUUUGUUUUCCCUUCUUUUUCGUGUCUCUCUAUAAGGUUUUACGUGCUCACCUAUUUAUAGUUUUUACUAGUUUCCAGUUUAUUAUUUUCCCUUUUUGAGUUCUUUCCAUGACCUUUUUUAUGUUGUUAUACAUGAGCUAUGCAGUAAUAUAUUAUUUGCCUUCUUAUCUGGAGAUGGAAAUUGUUCACUUCUCUUGAAUGUGUAUCAUUUUUCUUGAAAUCUUGAUUGUUAAACUUUUAAUUAUGAAUGCUAAGAUCAUUUGUGCUUUUUUCUUUAAUUCAUAUUGUACUGCUUAAUGCAUGUGGAUUUUUUUCUUGUCGAUUCAUAAAUGGUGUUAAAUUGCAAUUGAGAUAGUUUGUUGUU